This 97-nucleotide small nuclear RNA is filed under the name Jaculus jaculus (lesser Egyptian jerboa). The record is from RNAcentral. Lineage: Eukaryota; Metazoa; Chordata; Mammalia; Rodentia; Dipodidae.
GCGCUUGUUUCGGCAGCACAUAUACUAAAAUUGGAACAAUAACAGAAAAGAUAAGCAUGGACCCUGUGUAAGGAUGACAUGGAAAUUCCAUAUUUCU